This 365-nucleotide ribosomal RNA is filed under the name uncultured eukaryote. RNAcentral's name for it is "partial 18S ribosomal RNA". It matches the Rfam family "Eukaryotic small subunit ribosomal RNA", at positions 592 to 975 of the family's 1831-position model. The record is from RNAcentral.
CAAUAGCGUAUAUUAAAGUUGUUGCAGUUAAAAAGCUCGUAGUUGAAUUUCUGGCGGGCGCGCCGGUCUUCCAAGUGUUGUACUGGGCGCAGUCCGCCAUCCUUGUGGAGAGGGCUCGCAUUGAGUUGCGUGUCGGAUCUGCAUCAUUUACUGUGAAAAAAUUAGAGUGUUUAAAGCAGGCUGUCGCUUGAAUACAUUAGCAUGGAAUAAUAAGAUAGGACUUCGGUCUAUUUUGUUGGUUGCGAACCGAGGUAAUGAUUAAUAGGGAUAGUUGGGGGUAUUCAUAUUUAAUUGUCAGAGGUGAAAUUCUUGGAUUUAUGAAAGAUGAACAACUGCGAANGNAUUUACNAAGGAUGUUUNCAUUA